RNAcentral lists this ribosomal RNA (497 nucleotides) under uncultured bacterium. RNAcentral describes it as "partial 16S ribosomal RNA". It matches the Rfam family "Bacterial small subunit ribosomal RNA", at positions 28 to 507 of the family's 1533-position model. The record is from RNAcentral.
GAUGAACGCUGGCGGCGUGCCUAAUACAUGCAAGUCGAGCGAACAGACGAGGAGCUUGCUCCUCUGACGUUAGCGGCGGACGGGUGAGUAACACGUGGAUAACCUACCUAUAAGACUGGGAUAACUUCGGGAAACCGGAGCUAAUACCGGAUAAUAUAUUGAACCGCAUGGUUCAAUAGUGAAAGACGGCUUUGCUGUCUCUUAUAGAUGGAUCCGCGCCGGAUUAGCUAGUUGGUAAGGUAACGGCUUACCAAGGCAACGAUGCGUAGCCGACCUGAGAGGGUGAUCGGCCACACUGGAACUGAGACACGGUCCAGACUCCUACGGGAGGCAGCAGUAGGGAAUCUUCCGCAAUGGGCGAAAGCCUGACGGAGCAACGCCGCGUGAGUGAUGAAGGUCUUCGGAUUGUAAAACUCUGUUAUUAGGGAAGAACAAAUGUGUAAGUAACUAUGCACGUCUUGACGGUACCUAAUCAGAAAGCCACGGCUAACUACGUG